Molecule: ribosomal RNA, 2750 nt
Filed under: Breoghania sp. L-A4
Lineage: Bacteria; Pseudomonadati; Pseudomonadota; Alphaproteobacteria; Hyphomicrobiales; Stappiaceae
Description: bacterial LSU rRNA
Rfam family: Bacterial large subunit ribosomal RNA
Source: RNAcentral
GAGUGAUCAAGUGUCUUAAGGGCGUUUGGUGGAUGCCUAGGCGACAAGAGGCGAUGAAGGACGUGAUACGCUGCGAUAAGCGUCGGGGAGCUGCGAAUAAGCUUUGAUCCGGCGAUUUCCGAAUGGGGAAACCCACUCCGCAAGGAGUAUCCCGGCCUGUAUGGGUCGGGAAGCGAACCCGGGGAACUGAAACAUCUAAGUACCCGGAGGAAAGGACAUCAACAGAGACUCCGCUAGUAGUGGCGAGCGAACGCGGACCAGGCCAGUGGCUGCAUUUUAAGAACCGGAACCGUCUGGAAAGUCGGGCAUUAAUGGGUGAUAGCCCCGUACGGGUAGAAAGAUUUGCAGUCCUCGAGUAGGGCGGGACACGUGAAAUCCUGUCUGAACAUGGGGGGACCACCCUCCAAGCCUAAGUACUCCUUGUCGACCGAUAGUGAACCAGUACCGUGAGGGAAAGGUGAAAAGCACCCCGACGAGGGGAGUGAAAUAGAUCCUGAAACCGAACGCCUACAAACAGUUGGAGCCCAAGGUUCGUCCUGGGUGACAGCGUACCUUUUGUAUAAUGGGUCAGCGACUUAGUCUAACUAGCAAGCUUAAGCCGAUAGGUGUAGGCGCAGCGAAAGCGAGUCUUAAUAGGGCGUCUUAGUUAGUUGGACUAGACCCGAAACCAGGUGAUCUAGCCAUGAGCAGGCUGAAGGUGCGGUAACACGCACUGGAGGGCCGAACCCACGAAUGUUGAAAAAUUCGGGGAUGACUUGUGGCUAGGGGUGAAAGGCCAAUCAAACCUGGAAAUAGCUGGUUCUCCGCGAAAACUAUUUAGGUAGUGCGUUGGACGAAUACUCUCGGGGUAGAGCACUGGAUGGGCUAGGGGUCCUCACCGGAUUACCAAACCUAACCAAACUCCGAAUACCGAGAAGUACUAUCCAGCAGACACACGGCGGGUGCUAACGUCCGUCGUGAAGAGGGAAACAACCCUGACCGCCGAUUAAGGUCCCCAAGUCAUGGCUAAGUGGGAAAGGAUGUAGAACUCCCAAAACAACCAGGAUGUUGGCUUAGAAGCAGCCAUCAUUUAAAGAAAGCGUAACAGCUCACUGGUCUAAUUAAGGGGUUCCGCGCCGACAAUGUAACGGGGCUCAAGCCAUGCACCGAAAUCGCGGGCUCAGCAAUGAGCGGUAGCGGAGCGUUCUGUAAGUCUGCGAAGGGAGACCCGCGAGGGCUCCUGGAGAUAUCAGAAGUGCGAAUGCUGACAUGAGUAACGAUAAAGGGUGUGAGAGACACCCUCGCCGAAAGUCCAAGGGUUCCUGCGCAACGCUAAUCGGCGCAGGGUUAGCCGGCUCCUAAGGCGAGGCCGAAAGGCGUAGUCGAUGGGAAUGCAGUCAAUAUUCUGCAGCCAGCGGGUAGUGACGAAUGCCGUGUGCUGUAUCUCCUUACUGGAUUGGAGAUGCUUCGAAGGUGUUCCAGGAAAUAGCUCCCGCACUAAUGACCGUACCCGAAACCGACACAGGUGGACUGGUAGAGCAUACCAAGGCGCUUGAGAGAACUAUGCUGAAGGAACUCGGCAAAUUGCUCCCGUAAGUUCGCGAGAAGGGAGCCCAGUGUCUAGGCAACUAGGCAUUGGGGGCACAGACCAGGGGGUUGCGACUGUUUAUCAAAAACACAGGGCUCUGCGAAGCCGUAAGGCGACGUAUAGGGUCUGACGCCUGCCCGGUGCCGGAAGGUUAAAAGGAGGGGUGAGAGCUCCGAAUUGAAGCCCCGGUAAACGGCGGCCGUAACUAUAACGGUCCUAAGGUAGCGAAAUUCCUUGUCGGGUAAGUUCCGACCUGCACGAAUGGCGUAACGACUUCCCCGCUGUCUCCAGCAUAGACUCAGUGAAAUUGAAUUCCCCGUGAAGAUGCGGGGUUCCUGCGGUCAGACGGAAAGACCCCGUGCACCUUUACUACAGCUUCACACUGGCAUUCGUCACGACAUGUGUAGGAUAGGUGGUAGGCUUUGAAGCUCGGGCGCCAGCUCGGGUGGAGCCAUCCUUGAAAUACCACCCUUAUCGUUAUGGAUGUCUAACCGCGGUAUUACAGUACCCGGGACCGUGUGUGGCGGGUAGUUUGACUGGGGCGGUCGCCUCCCAAAGAGUAACGGAGGCGCGCGAUGGUGGGCUCAGAGCGGUCGGAAAUCGCUCGUUGAGUGCAAUGGCAUAAGCCUGCCUGACUGCGAGACUGACAAGUCGAGCAGAGUCGAAAGACGGCCAUAGUGAUCCGGUGGUCCCACGUGGAAGGGCCAUCGCUCAACGGAUAAAAGGUACGCCGGGGAUAACAGGCUGAUGAUCUCCAAGAGUCCAUAUCGACGAGAUCGUUUGGCACCUCGAUGUCGACUCAUCACAUCCUGGGGCUGGAGCAGGUCCCAAGGGUUCGGCUGUUCGCCGAUUAAAGUGGUACGUGAGUUGGGUUCAGAACGUCGCGAGACAGUUCGGUCCCUAUCUGCCGUGGGUGUAGGAGAAUUGAGAGGAUCUGUCCCUAGUACGAGAGGACCGGGAUGGACGUAUCUCUGGUGGACCUGUUGUCGCGCCAGCGGCAUAGCAGGGUAGCUAUAUACGGACGGGAUAACCGCUGAAAGCAUCUAAGCGGGAAACCCACCUCAAAACGAGUUCUCCCUUGAGAGUCGUGGAAGACCACCACGUUGAUAGGCCGGGUGUGGAAGUGCAGCAAUGCAUGCAGCUUACCGGUACUAAUAACUCGAUUGGCUUGAUCACUCUCAUU